UACGUAGGGUGCGAGCGUUAAUCGGAAUUACUGGGCGUAAAGCGUGCGCAGGCGGUUUUGUAAGUCUGACGUGAAAUCCCCGGGCUCAACCUGGGAACUGCGUUGGAGACUGCAAGGCUGGAGUCUGGCAGAGGGGGGUAGAAUUCCACGUGUAGCAGUGAAAUGCGUAGAGAUGUGGAGGAACACCGAUGGCGAAGGCAGCCCCCUGGGUCAAGACUGACGCUCAUGCACGAAAGCGUGGGGAGCAAACGGG
Molecule: ribosomal RNA, 253 nt
Filed under: uncultured bacterium
Lineage: Bacteria
Description: partial 16S ribosomal RNA
Rfam family: Bacterial small subunit ribosomal RNA
Source: RNAcentral